RNAcentral lists this ribosomal RNA (467 nucleotides) under uncultured bacterium. Its description in RNAcentral is "bacterial SSU rRNA". It matches the Rfam family "Bacterial small subunit ribosomal RNA", at positions 329 to 794 of the family's 1533-position model. The record is from RNAcentral.
UCCCAGACUCCUACGGGAGGCAGCAGUGAGGAAUAUUGGUCAAUGGGCGGGAGCCUGAACCAGCCAAGCCGCGUGAAGGAAGAAGGCGCCAGGCGUCGUAAACUUCUUUUGUCGGGGAACAAAGGGCGCCACGCGUGGCGUUGUGAGUGUACCCGAAGAAAAAGCAUCGGCUAACUCCGUGCCAGCAGCCGCGGUAAUACGGAGGAUGCGAGCGUUAUCCGGAUUUAUUGGGUUUAAAGGGUGCGUAGGCGGUCCGGAAAGUCAGCGGUAAAAGCCCGGGGCUCAACCCGGGCGAGCCGUUGAAGCUGUCGGACUAGAGACGGCGAGAAGUACGCGGAAUGCGCGGUGUAGCGGUGAAAUGCAUAGAUAUCACGCAGAACUCCGAUUGCGAAGGCAGCAUACCGGCGCCCAACUGACGCUGAAGCACGAAAGCGUGGGUAUCGAACAGGAUUAGAUACCCGGGUAGA